UUGACCUCGGAUCAGGUAGGGAUACCCGCUGAACUUAAGCAUAUCAAUAAGCGGGAGGGAA
RNAcentral lists this ribosomal RNA (61 nucleotides) under Sclerotinia sclerotiorum. Its description in RNAcentral is "partial 28S ribosomal RNA". The record is from RNAcentral. RNAcentral also lists the same sequence under 1 other name. Lineage: Eukaryota; Fungi; Ascomycota; Leotiomycetes; Helotiales; Sclerotiniaceae.